CCCCUAGAUGUUCUGGGCCGCACGCGCGCUACACUGAACAGUUCAACAAGUCUUAACCUUGGCCGAUAGGUCUGGGUAAUCUUUGAACGCUGUUCGUGAUUGGGAUAGACCUUUGCAAUUAUGGGUCUUCAACGAGGAAUUCCUAGUAAACGCAAGUCAUCAGCUUGCAUUGAUUACGUCCCUGCCCUUUGUACACACCGCCCGUCGCUCCUACCGAUUGAAUGGUCCGGUGAAGCGUUCGGACCGUGGCCUUUGGACGGUUCGCCGUCUGUUGGCUGCGGGAAGUUCGUUAAACCUUAUCAUUUAGAGGAAGGAGAAGUCGUAACA
Molecule: ribosomal RNA, 327 nt
Filed under: uncultured eukaryote
Lineage: Eukaryota
Description: partial 18S ribosomal RNA
Rfam family: Eukaryotic small subunit ribosomal RNA
Source: RNAcentral